AAAAAACAAUUCCCAUGAUUUACUGUUAUAAAUUUUUUUAAAUUGUUCUCACAAACAAGUAUUCAUGUUUCAAAAUUGUCACGAUUUAGAAUAAGCGGAUAUAUGGUAUCAAACACAACUCUUGCAAAAAUAUGCCGAACUUCCGGCAGGUUUCCCACAGCCAAUGACUCAUAAUCAAUCUUGCUGCCUUGCUUUGGCACAAAUCCCCUCUCUGCACCAGACGUUACGCAACUAAAAACCCUGCUGACCCUCAGAGAUAACCCCCAUGGGAUAAAUACCUGGAAGUUGAGAUCAAACCCAAUAACCCUUUAGAGUUUCUCAAUAAAUGAGAUGAAUGCAGACAACACACACACAAACAGCAAACAAAAACAAUAAAAUCUUGUCAUGAGGACAAGAAAUGUUUAAAUGAAGGAAGGUGCUCACCAGAUCAGAAUAUGGUGCUUGUGGGUACCCUGCCAUCGCCACAGAGACUAUUUGCUCAUCAGUCAUAUGGUUUAGCGCACGCUUAAGAGAUGUUGCAAGAUUCACAACCUCAUCUUUCAAUGCUCGAGGGUUCAAAUCCUGAGUUUCUGAUAAUUCAUUAAAGCAAACAUCGUGUAGUUUAGUGAUUCUCCUAGCAAUGUUUACUGCUUCUAGCAUAUCUCCACCAUUGUGAAUUGCAAGGCUAAAUGCAGCAACCACCAAUGGAUCCCUAGGUUGUUCGGACAGUGCUUUGUGGAAUGCUAAGAUCGCAACCCUGGAAGUGUAAACCUGUGAUGAGUCUCAGUUGGUCCAACUCGUAAUGAGCUUGUAAGUACACAUCAUAGAAUCUCCAAUACAUAAAAGAAUCAUGCAACUUAAUUUGCUUAGAUUACUCAGACCAAUAAAAAGAAAAAGGAGCAAACAAACUGCGAAGAAAUAUGAUGCAAGGGCAAGAGUACUCCAGUACAACCUGGAGGAAUUCAAAACAAGGAACAACUUGUAAGUAUGCAGAAUAAGGCUGCAUACAUCUAACCCUCCCCAAACCUCCCAAUGGCAGGAGUCUCAUACACCAAGCCAAAGAAAUACUGUUCUAUAACAUGAGAAUCCAAGAAAAACUGAUACAAUGCAAGUAUGACCAAUUAAACCAUUUCAAUCUUCUAUCUUUUCAGUCGCCUGUUAUUAAUGGCAUAAAGAAAACACAUGAGCAUUCUGUUAUCAUAAACAUCUUACCAUAAGCUACUGUGGCAUGGCUUGUCAGGUGAAAGAAGUUUAUCCAAGUUAGAAAGAAGGGACUGCAUGUGGAAAGCCAGAGAAUUAAAUGCACUUUUAGGUCAAACCCUCUUCACGAUAUAAUCAAGCACUGAAUAAGCAUAUAACAAGUGUGUAAUGAUAAUUACCAAAAGCAUAUUAGUCCUUUUGUCACGUCUUCGAAAACCAUGGCUAACAAAAUAUGCUGCCUGCAAUAUGAAACUGUAUUGAAACUUAUUGUAUUGUGCGGACAAGUAGCAAAUUUAUUCAAUAUUAAAUCCAUACCUGAAUAGGUAGAAGUAGUUCUAGAAGUCCAAAUUUCCAUAAUAACCUCAAAGAAGCUUCAGCAGAACCAUAAGCUAGCAUGUAGUUCAUUUCCAUGAGGAGCCUUCCCUAAAGUAUGAAGUAAUGACUAAGUAAUUCAGGAACUCAAGAAUACUAAGUGCAAGGAAAAUGAUAAGGUCCAAGAUCUCUUAAAUUACCUUAUCAAGCCUAAGAAUUGAGUAAGAUAAAUUUUUAACAGAAUGAGCUGUUUCCUUGGAAAUACGAAAGCCUAAACGGGCAGCAAUUCUUAUUGCACGUAGGAUGCGAGCUGCACAUACGCAGAAUCUGAUUUAGUUUCUCCACAAACAUGAGAAAGAUUUUGUCAAGUGUGCAUGGGUUGGGUGUGUUCUUAGAACACACCCCCCACGGGAGAUAACAACUACUUAGCAACGCUUAUGUCAAGUUAAUUAUAAUUAAGCAGCUGCUUUCUUCUCAACGAGCUUCUCUAUCAAAUCAGCUGCUUCUUGGACCGUGCUUAUGUUCUGAGAGCUCUCCUCUUCAACGCUUAUGUCAAAUUCUUCCUCCAAACCUAUCACUAUCUCCACCUGCAACAGAUCAUCCAGUCUUAUUUUUAUCCACCAAUAAAUUAUAUAUAUUUAAUUUAAAAACCAUAUGCAUAAAUAGAAUUUGAUAAUCAAUUGGAGUAGAAAAUAAUGGCAGCAGGGCAUACUGUGUCAAGAGAGUCGGCACCAAGGGAUGCAAACUUGGAGUCAGGGGUGACCUCAUACUCUGGAGGCAAAGCCAGUUGCUUCCUCACAAUCUCCACAACCUUUUGCACUGUCUCAGGUUUGGCCUGUCCACUUUUCAAUUUUCAUUAUGUGGUUUUCAAUAUAUAACUUGUUAAGCGUGAAAUAUAUCGCCGUGUAUCAGAUGCACACAAUAAUUUUUCUCGAGUUGAAGAACUUACCGCGCAACAGAUUUGGAGACGAGAGGUCCUCAGAGAAGAGAAACCAGUCUUAGCCCAUUCAUUAGAAACCAAUUGUAAACUUAAACUUGUUCUUGUUACCUACAUUAUUAGUUCAUAAGCAUCAAAAGCAGAUAUUGGCUCAUAUUUAUACUUUCAGUUUAAUCACAUUUACUUAUUGAUCUGAAAAACCUUCAAUUGGGCAAUAAUUCAAUAAUAAAAAAUUUUGAAAAAAAAACAAAUGAUGGUAACAUUCAAUCCAUAGAUAAGGCAAACCCAAAAUUUAGAAGACAACCCAAAUGAAUAAAAAAAUGGAAGAAAAAGACAGAGACAUUAGGUUAAAUGCUAAUACCAGGCCAGAAGUCUUGGUUGGCUGGUUUUGAAAGGGCUGGAACCUGCAAAGAGAAGUAGCUGAAACAGAAGCCAUUGAAGCUGCUCAAGAAACCAAACCGCAAAAACUUUGUUACUCAAAACAAACAGAGAGACAUGGUGAGGGUGAUGUAAAGUUGUGCCCUAUUGGAACAGAGCUGCCGUAUCUUCUACUUACGUGGCAGACAUUGGAAAUUAUGGGUGGGCCCUUGGAAUUCAGGUACAAGUUGCCAGAUGGGACAAAUUAACAACUAGACCAUCCAUCCAUGUAGUUUGUCUGUUUUCGCAAUUAGUUUUAAUUUUGUUAAUUUUGUCAUUGUAAUUUUAAAUCUCCUGCAAAUUCAAAGACACGUUUAAAUUAUGUCAAAUUUUUUUUAAUUUCGUUCAAAAUACCCUUUAAUAUCAUCGACACAUACUUAUUAUGUCACAUAAUAAAACAGAAAUUUAAACAUACUUUUGAACUAUAGGAGUUAAAUUGUCAGAAUAAAAACCGCAUAAACAAAAGUGAAAAAUCAGACAAACCACAAGAGCCGAAGAUGAUUUUUUGCCUUCAUAAUUAUUAGAGUACUGGGAGGAAGAAACGAAACUGGUUACGUCCCUGCUUACCGACAAGGCUUUUGAUUCAAAAGUUUUGAAUGAUUGGUCAACGCCGUGAAUUAACUAUCUGAAAUAAAGCUUCAAUAUAAAUUGCGCGCCACGCGGAUAUUUUUCGAGGUGUGCUUCCACCAAAAGGCAGAGCCUUCCAAAAUUGCAGAGAGAGACUUCAAUCAAUCAAUAAUGGCAGAUCCACUCAACAACACAAACUCUCGCCACUCUCUCCUCCCAAGCUUCCUCUACUCUUCAUCUUCUUCAAUGGUGGCAUCAGGUUAUGCAUCAUCAGCACCGUCAUCAAGGGUGGUGAUUGCAGCGCCUAGAGAGAAGGUGGAGAUGUACUCUGCUGAGUUCUAUGCGGCGUGUGGAGUUGCAGGUAUGCUGGCCACUGGCCUAACCCAUUUGGCCGUCACUCCUAUCGAUGUCGUCAAGUGUAAUAUGCAGGUCAAGCUUUCUUUCUUUUCCUUUUGUUUUUGUUUUUUUUCAAAAUAUGCAGGUCAAGCUGUCCUAUAAGUUGGGUAAAAAAAAAGUAGUUUAAUAUUUUUUAAAUACAUUUUUUUUUCAUACAAGCGAUAGUAUAAACUACUCUAAAUUGAUCUAAUCUACGAAAAAAGGGGAUUCAAACUUGUGUGUAAUGGGCGAACUCAACGCCUUGGCCAACUUAUCUAACCUUAGUGUUACAUUUUGUGAUCACAUUAGUCGAUCACACAAAUGAUUUGAGUAGUUAAUAUGUAUCUAUUACAUCAAUUAGCAUGACCAACUAUUACCAAGUUAUGUCUGUAGAAAUGUCGUAGCAUUACUUAUGUUGUUUCUGAACUCAUUCAAUCUAUCAUGCCCCAAUUUUGUUCUUCAUUUUAUUUUCUAUAGAAAGUCUUAACAAAAAUUAUGUUGCUGAUAUUAACAAUUCAGAUUGACCCAAUUAAGUACAAGAGCGUCACAUCCGGAUUUGGAGUUCUGUUGAAGGAGCAGGGCAUCAGAGGUUUGUUCAAGGGCUGGGCGCCCACCUUGAUCGGCUACAGCGCCCAGGGUGCUGGAAAGUUUGGCCUCUAUGAGUUUUUCAAGAAGUACUACACAGACAUUGCAGGGCCAGAGUAUGCAGCCAAGUACAAGACCUUGAUCUACCUUGCAGGCUCUGCAUCAGCUGAAGUCAUUGCUGAUGUUGCCCUCUGUCCCAUGGAAGCUGUCAAAGUUCGUGUCCAAACUCAGCCCGGCUUUGCCAGAGGCUUGGCUGAUGGGCUUCCAAAGAUCAUCAAAUCCGAAGGCGCUCUCGGGUUUGAAUUCGAAUCCUUUCAUAUUCUUUUGGUUCUUGUGUUUGAAGAACUUUGGUUUGAUGAUUACUUUCACUGUGUUGCAGGUUGUACAAGGGGCUUGUUCCUCUUUGGGGACGUCAGGUUCCUUGUAAGUUUGAAAGGUUUCCCUCAUCUCAUUUGGAUAUCUUGACGCACUGAAAUCAAAUUUUAACAUUUUGGGAUUUGAUUUCUGCAGAUACUAUGAUGAAAUUUGCGUCGUUCGAGAAUACAAUCGAGCUGAUGUACAAGCAUGUCAUCCCAACACCUAAAGAGCAAUGCAGCAAAUCUUUGCAGCUGGGGGUGAGCUUUGCCAGUGGAUAUAUUGCUGGUGUAUUCUGUGCUGUUGUCUCACACCCAGCUGACAACUUGGUCUCUUUCCUCAACAAUGCCAAGGGAGCAACUGUUGGUGAUGUGAGUUUUUAUACAUAUGCAUGCAGAACAUAAACCCUUUUUUUGUUCUUUCUUUCUUUCUCUAUGCUCAGUUUUUUGUUUUCAUUGCCGAUGUCUUGCAGGCUGUGAAGAAGCUAGGGUUAUUAGGUCUUUUCACUCGUGGUCUUCCUCUUCGAAUAUUCAUGAUUGGAACCCUCACUGGAGGCCAAUGGGUUCUCUAUGACGCUUUCAAAGUUUUGGUUGGGCUGUAAGUCUAUGCUCCCUUCAUUUUCCUUGUGAUUUUCCAUAUCCUAUGCUUGGAAGCUUCAUACUUAUCCAUGUUCUGCAAACUGUUCUAUUUUCCCAGGCCAACUACCGGUGGUCCUGCUCCCACCGCCACCGAGCUUGCCAAGGCUUGAAAUUGAAGCUGAUGGUUCGCAUAUUAUACAGUACAAAUUUUGUUUGUAUACUUUAUCUUCAUGCCAUUUGCUGCCCGGUUUCAUUGAAAGGGCGAUGUUUUGGGGUAAAGUUCCCCAUGGAGGAAUAUGUAACAUAAAAAUAAAAAAUUCCAACUGCUCUGCUUCUACCUUGAAUUAUGUUAAUGGAGAUAUUCAGUAACAAUUUUACAGUACAAUAAAAUUAUAAAAACAUCCUGUUAUUAUAUCAGAAAGAGCCUUUCCAAAGGCUUUGCACUUGUAGGCAACCACGUUCUAGGCUAAGGUGUGGGCCAAAAAGGGGAAGAAAAAAAAAAUUCCCAUGAUUUACUUUUAUAAAAAUUUUAAAAUUGUUCUCACAAACAAGCAUUCAUGUUUCAAAAUUGUCACGAUUUAGACUAAGCGGAUAUAUGGUAUCAAACACAACUCUUGCAAAAAUAUGCCGAACUUCCGGCAGGUUUCCCACAGCCAAUGACUCAUAAUCAAUCUUGCUGCCUUGCUUUGGCACAAAUCCCCUCUCUGCACCAGACGUUACGCAACUAAAAACCCUGCUGACCCUCAGAGAUAACCCCCAUGGGAUAAAUACCUGGAAGUUGAGAUCAAAC
Molecule: long non-coding RNA, 6094 nt
Filed under: Prunus persica (peach)
Lineage: Eukaryota; Viridiplantae; Streptophyta; Magnoliopsida; Rosales; Rosaceae
Description: long non-coding RNA (PPER_LNC005467)
Source: RNAcentral